Molecule: small nuclear RNA, 163 nt
Filed under: Thrips palmi
Lineage: Eukaryota; Metazoa; Arthropoda; Insecta; Thysanoptera; Thripidae
Description: U1 spliceosomal RNA
Rfam family: U1 spliceosomal RNA
About the family: U1 is a small nuclear RNA (snRNA) component of the spliceosome (involved in pre-mRNA splicing). Its 5' end forms complementary base pairs with the 5' splice junction, thus defining the 5' donor site of an intron. There are significant differences in sequence and secondary structure between metazoan and yeast U1 snRNAs, the latter being much longer (568 nucleotides as compared to 164 nucleotides in human).
Source: Rfam by way of RNAcentral
AUACUUACCUGGCGCAGAGGUUAACCGUGAUCACUAAGGCGGUUCCUCCAGGCCGAGGCCCUCCCAUUGCACUUCGGUUGGGCUGAAUCCUGCGAGUAUCCCAAAUGUGGAUACCUCGGGCGUAUAAUUUUUGAUAGUCGGGAUUGCGUUCGCGCUCUCCCGG